AAGAGACAGCAGUCGCCGCGGGAAUACGUAGGUGGCAAGCGUUGUCCGGAAUUAUUGGGCGUAAAGGGCUCGCAGGCGGUUUCUUAAGUCUGAUGUGAAAGCCCCCGGCUCAACCGGGGAGGGUCAUUGGAAACUGGGAAACUUGAGUGCAGAAGAGGAGAGUGGAAUUCCACGUGUAGCGGUGAAAUGCGUAGAGAUGUGGAGGAACACCAGUGGCGAAGGCGACUCUCUGGUCUGUAACUGACGCUGAGGAGCGAAAGCGUGGGGAGCGAACAGGAUUAGAGACCCCGGUAGUCCCUGUCUCUUAUAC
This 310-nucleotide ribosomal RNA is filed under the name uncultured bacterium. RNAcentral's name for it is "partial 16S ribosomal RNA". It matches the Rfam family "Bacterial small subunit ribosomal RNA", at positions 503 to 807 of the family's 1533-position model. The record is from RNAcentral.